Molecule: RNA transcript, 7760 nt
Organism: Cuculus canorus (common cuckoo)
Lineage: Eukaryota; Metazoa; Chordata; Aves; Cuculiformes; Cuculidae
Gene: CEP85
Gene name: centrosomal protein 85
Exons: 15
Source: RefSeq, a predicted model, not a curated record
GCUGAGUUGUGGCACUGGCAGUUGGCUGAAGUGUGCUGAUUUUCAGGCCAGAACAUGAGUCACAAAUAUUGUGACUACCCUUAGCACACUCAAGGAACCGAUUGCAGAAUUCGCACGUGGCGUGCUGAGAACUUGAGUUCCCAAUAGUGAGACUGGGGUGUAAAUUUAGGGGCUGUGAAAGGAACUGGUACUGUUCCUUCUUUUUGCCAAGGGGAACGUGCUUGUGACUGCUGAGUAGCACGGUGUUCUCUGGAGUUCCAUGGCACAGCCAAGUCAUGUCCAAGGCAUUUUCUCCCCCUCCUGCUUAUUUUUAAGGAGAGGGUCUUCUGCCUUUAUUGUGAUUGUUUUCCUGCAGUUUGAUGGUCUCUGCAGAAUCUGGGUUUGGUCCUAUCCAAAUUGUAACCUUUUCUUCCUUCUUCCAGCAAUGUUUUGAAGUUACAGAUGGGUGGAAGAAUGACCUUGCAAUCCUGGGUUAAAGAAACAUCAUGUGGGGAUGGACCUUUAGCCAAACCCAUGGAGAAAACAAGUUUGUGCUCUUGCAAUUCCAGUAACGGUUCCUCAUUCCAGCCCAUCAAAACCCAAGUAACCAUCCCCACAGCCCAUGUUAUGCCUUCUACGUUGGGUGCUUCGCCCUCGAAGCUGCGCUCUGCGGGAGACCAGGGCUGUUCGCAGAGUGCUUCAAAAACUGCUAUGCUGGGAUCUGCUUCUGAACACCCAGGGCUCAUGAGAAACGGAGACUUUAAUGCCGGGAAGCCAUCUCAGGUGCCACCCAGGGAUCUCUUGCGUCUCUAUGGGACAUCGGGGGAAAACGGUUUUGAGCAAAACUGGCAUCCUGUUUCUGAUCACAUGAGAACAGAAGAUACUUGGAAGUUUGACACCCCUGCCAUUGAGCACACCCUUAAUCAGUCUCUCUUUCCGGAUAGUUUGUGCACUGACCCGCUUCACAGGUUCCAGAAGUUCAAUCCAAACUCUGGGGCAGCUGAGGCAGGAAAGGACCAUUAUAAGGUGCUGCCAGAGAGUAAGCAAGUGGCAGGGGCCAAUGGAGCCUCCGAGUCCCAGGACGGAACAUGGCUGAGCGGGAGCAGACCAAUGCCAACGGGACUCCAGGCUAACAGUUUAUUUUCAAACUCUGUACCUCCUUCCUCUCGUUCGUGGAUGCCAGAAACCUGCACGCUCCAUCCGCACGAGAGGGUCUGCGAGCUCAGUGCUUGGAAACAACAGCUGGACAAAGUGCUAUUGCAAAUAGAGCAAAUGCAGUUACAAAAUGGAGGCGCCUGCCACCAUCCCUCGAUGUAUUCUCCUUCGCUGCCUACGCCUGAUCCAGCCCAGUGGAUCAAUAUCCUGAACUCCAAUGAAAACCUACUCAAGGAGAAAGAGCUUCUCAUUGACAGACAAAGACAACACAUAUCCCAGUUGGAGCAGAAGGUCCGCGAAAGUGAACUGCAGGUUCACAAUGCCCUGCUUGGCUGUCCAGCAUCCUACGGAGAUGUCUACAUGUUGAGACUGCAGGAGCUGCAGCGGGAGAACACGUUUCUUCGAGCGCAGUUCGCAGAGAAGACUGAAUCCCUCAGUAAGGAAAAGAUUGAAUUGGAGAGAAAACUGGCUGCUGCAGAGGUGGAUGCAAAGCUGAUCCGGGAGUCACUGAAGGAAGCUAUGCAGAAACAUGCUGAGGAGUUAAAGAAACAGGAAGAAAGGGUAAAGGGAAGAGACAAACACAUCAAUAACCUUAAAAAGAAAUGCCAGAAGGAAUCUGAACAAAACAGAGAGAGACAACAGAGAAUCGAGACCCUGGAACGAUACCUCGCUGAUCUUCCAACCCUUGAGGACCACCAGAAACAGAGUCAGAAGCUGAAGGAAUCUGAACUGAAGAGAACUGCUAUGCAGGAAACAGUGCUGGCACUGGAAACAGAGCUUGGAGGUGUCCGGGCUGCUUUCAGGGAGCAAGAGAUGCAGCUAGAAACCCAAAAACACAAGGAGCUGGAGCUUCUUUCCACUGUGCGCAGCUUGCAGGACAAAGUGCAGCAGUGUGUAAAGAAUGCAGAGAGAGGACCCCUUGCCCAGGAUGCAGAGAGACAGAAAAUAGAAAAUGACUCUCUGAAGAAAGAAUGCGACUGCCUCAGGAAGAUUGCGGACAAACAGCAGAAGAAGAUGGAGCAGCUCUCCUUGCAAGUAAAGACCUUAGAAGAGCAAGUGGCCCAGGAAGAGGGGACAAGCCAAGCUCUGAAAGAGGAGGCGAUAAGAAGAGAAAAUGUGCUGCAGCAGCUCCGGACCGCUGUGAAAGAGCUUUCACUGCAGAACCAGGAUCUCAUUGAGAAGAACCUAACCCUUCAGGAACGACUCCGGCAGGCAGAGCUAACAACCCAGCCACUGCCUGCAGAGACAACCCGCCUCACCCAGGAGCUGCACAGCGAGCUGGCCACUUGUCUGCAGGAUCUGCAGUCUGUCUACAGCAUUGUCACUCAGAGAGCUCAGGGCAAGGAUCCCAACCUUUCUCUGCUUCUGGGCAUUCGCUCUGUGCAGCACUCUGCGAAGGAGAGGGAUGACUUGCUGAGCCCCGAUGGACUGACAAAGAAACUGGUGGAGGUAAAACAGCUUCACAAAGAGGUGGAGGACUUGAGGACGGCAAUAUCUGACAGAUACGCUCAGGACAUGGGAGAAAACUGCAUCACCCAGUAAAGAACACUUGCCAAAGGGUGAGGUGAAGAAUUAUGAUGAUCAAAGCGGCAACUUGAAAAACACCAUGCAGCCAGGGGACUGCCAUGAUCUCAAAUCAAAGGUGCAGAUAGCUUAGGGGAACUAAAGCAAGUAUCUCACCUCCAUCUCCCAGAUCUGGGUCUGCAGCUGAAAGCACCUAAAUUCCAGUUCCUCUGCUGUGGAUGAGUUGGGAUCAUCUGAAAGGGAAGAUUUGGUUUUUCUCUGUAAAGCCUUAAGGAAAAGCUACAGAUAAGCUGUGUCAGAGCGCAGGUGCCCCAGCAGUACCUGCCUGCACCAUAAGCAAACUCAAGCCCUUAUGACACAGGAGCCAAACACGAGCUCUGUGUGCUGGUCCCUUACAAUUCAACCUGCAGCACUUUGCGAAAGAUGCUGACAGACUAAAAAAUAGUUGUGAAUGACACUGGUGACGUUCUGUGCUGCGGGAAGCUGCUGUGAGCGGUGCUGUUUGCAAUUAUGCAAUGAGAAUUGCUUGGCUUACUCAGUCUUAAGGGGCUAAUUUAAAAAAUGAGCAGGUAUGCACUAAAGCUGGAUCCAGAAACCUAGGCUGAAUGUCUAGGACAAUGCAUGAUGAGGCACAGUACACAUUUGUGGUUUGACAGGCAUGUUCUUGUUCUUUGCUCAGGAAAUGGAGAACUUGCCACAGCUUUAUGCUAACAGAGUAGUUUGGACAUUGUAGGAAAUGCACGUGGGCUCAGCUGGAGAACUGCUGGAUUCCAAGGAACUGAAUGCAGGGGAAGACCUUCAGUGACUCACUGAAAGCUGGCUUCAAUUUAAAGUUAGGCUGCCUUAUGUGAGACUCCAAGCUGAUUUUUGGUUUCACUUAGCUGCAAGCAGCCCUGUUUUUCCAGCCUGUUUGAACUUGGCAGUAUUUAUCAUUUUCUUUUUUUUUUUCUGACUGUCCUUAGGUAUCUGUGUGAUUGGUAUGUGCUCAUGGAAGCUUAGUAACCCACAGAAAAUAGGUCAGGAAAUGAUGUUUUGCACUGCACCAGCAAAGCCGCAGAUGUAACAGAUGCAAGUAUUAAGUGCAGAUCUGCUUUGCAAACAGUACCACGUGUGUGUAACUGACACCACUCAAAGCUGGCUCGCAGAGGAGGUCUCCAAGCCUGCUCUUGCAGGCUCCGUUGCUCUCCCACAGGUAGAAGUAAGGGUAGAACAAUUUUUACCUUCUGCUUUCUGAAGAGUCUUCAUCUUCUCUUCAAGUUCAGCAAUCCUCCUGUCCUUCAGGACCAGAACAAAGAAUGACCUUGUUUAGUUCCUCCUUGGCCUUCAGGACCUUGAGGCAGUAUUUGCAUUAUUAGUCCUGGCUGGGUGAGUCAGCGGUGCAUGUACUCUUAUCCCUCUCAGAGAGGCAAAAUAAGGUUCAGAAACCCUGUAUCAUUUCAUAACUAUCUUAAUUAGACUCAAAUGAGAGGUGGGUUAUAAAUACACUGCUCCAAGAAUAGGUGGGGGAAAGGCUGACCUAUCACUCCCUCCUACAUCUGCCUAAGAGCUGUAGGCAAACACACAGACUCCUGCCCCUGCGCUUCCUGCUCAGGCACAGCUCGUGCCCUGACCUGCAGUAAGUAGCUGACGUAAAAACAAAACCAGCAUCUCUGCAACCACCUCUUUGCGGGGGAAAAAAAAGGGGAUUUUAUUCUAAGCUGCAGUAAGGCAAAGAGGUCGACUCUAGGAUGACUCUGCUGAUGUUUCAGAAAGCAAAAGGAAGAAAAAAAGGUCUGAAGCCAAACAGGUGAUGAUACCAGUGAAAGAGGGCUGACAGUCUUUAAGAAGUCACAGCAGGGACUGUCCUUCUCCCACCCCAAAGAUUGAUAUGAUUGUUCUGUUACUUUGCAAAGGUUCAUUUGUGUAAUUAACAGAGCAGGCUACAGUUUAAAUUGUUUUAGCCCAAACUAGGUCUGAGCAGAUGUAAUGCAACUGUGGCUUCAACCGUCAAAGCAGAGAACAGAACGGAUUCAGGAAGGGGCAGGAUUUUUACCUUCAGUUGGAUUUCUUGGGCUUGUUUCUCUAUUUUUUGUUCUAACAGAAUGAUUUUUUGCAUGAGCUCCAUGUCAGCGUGAGCUGCACCUGAAAGAACAAAUACAACGUGUUACCUCUCUAAAACGGUGAUCAAUAUCAGAAGCUGAUCUGCACCAUAGGAGACUCCACACCAAAAUUCCUGUUCUGCCACAGCAGGGAGGACAAGGGCACCGUUUAGGGGCAUGGGGUAGAAAUCUCUUGGCUCUUCAUGGUAGGGAGAUGGCUGUGUCACUGACAGCACGCUGGGUAUGUGACAAGGGACCACAGGAAUCCGCCCUGACCUGGGAUAUUGAGUCCACCAGAACUGUCACAGAGAAACUGUGAUGGCCCAGAAUCCCCUGAUGAUUGAAGGACUUCACCCUGCAUAAUGUUGUCAGCGUUGUCCCUCAUGAGCAGGUGAGGAGACUGCCUUGCACUGGAUUCUUUGUCCUAGGAGACAGUCUGUCAUCUGCGAAGACACACAAAGAGCAUGAAAGAAAGAAAACAGGUCAGUGUUUCGCAUACGACUUCUCCAAAAGCCAGUAAAGAAAAAGGUUACGCUGAGGGAAAGAGAGGGCAGGAAAAAGCAGGGUGGCCCAGGCCAUUCGCUCCCUCAAGCACUCUCAGACUAAUGAGUGUCUGUGGGUGCUCGUUAUAAGCCAGGACCCAAGGGAAGGUGCAAUCUCAGCAGCAGGGAGGAGCGAACACAAAAUGGGGCAGAAAAAGACCAUGCUACUCAUACAGAGCAUCCUGCACUGCACAGUGAGGCAGAAAGUAGUGAUAUUGAGCUAUUUUAACAACAAGCACAAUACUCUGGCAUUAAUAGAAGCAGCAAACUUCAUUAGGAGUGGAAAGGAAGGCUUUACUCUAAGAUCUAGGAGGAAGGAUGUGACCUAAAAUGGAACUGUAAAAAUAGAUGAGACUCUAAUGUGCUCUAGGGCUUGUUGAGGAUGUGGAAACCUUUUGUUACUUAUCUGAUCUUGGACACACGUAGGAGAAAGAGAGCUACAAUUAUUGCAAAACAUUUCAGAUAGUAAGAAAAGCCAACAACUUGGACAGCUCUGCCCUUUUAGUAAAAAUAAGAGGGGAUAACAUGUAAAAAUAAAGCAUGAUUUCAUUAACUUUGGGAGGAUUUUCUUGGUGGGCGUAUUUUUUAUUGUGUAAUUGAGAAGGCUGCCUAAAAAAGUCCGAAGUACACAUUUUUCUCAUCAGCCCAUCCUCCCAGUCCACACAUCCUGUAUGUUUGGACAGGGUGAGUGUUCAUGGAGCUACAUGGGCCGCAAACCAUGGUAGCUGCCUAAGAGAAACCUGGGUGAGCGAGGUGCAGAGGUGCCCGCUGGCAGAAGCAGGUGGAAGAGCUAACACUUGCCAUGCCAUUGCAGCUGCAGAAAGCAACUCUUCUCUGCUCGAGACGGAGAAAAUGCAAACGUGGACCUGUGUGAGACCUGACUGACCAGCAUUCCUGGUACUCACUGGGGAGCAAUGCCAGCCACGAGGCAGCAGCGAUGCUCUCCCUCACCCGGGAACUACAACAGACUUGAAUCGCCUCGCUGAUGCUCCAAACCCUACCCAGAGCUUGCCACCACCCAGAGAGCCAUCCCUGCACAUCCCCAUCCUGCCAUGCUGCUCUCCUCUCCGGAGAGUUCAGCCUCACCAGCUGGAGAGGAGCAGGACAGUGUGAUUUUUUGCACCUUUUAUGGGAUGAGACUUUCAUUUUGACGCUUCCACGAAGCAGAAAAAUUAACUAUAUUGUGUGAAGCUUUGCUGUAGAGGAGCCUUCAGCUCUGGGCAGAGACUGGCAACGGUUCACUGAGCUGUGAUGCACUUCACUGACACGAAACCAGACACUAGGUGAACGUGCUCAGCACAUUUCAGCAGCUUUACUUAUUUCAAACACUCUCAAAAUAACCAAAUCCCUUUUGUUUCCGGCUGCUGCAGCUGAGUGGGUGAGGGUGCUCAGAGAUCUGCUGUGAGGAGAUGGAUACUGAGAGGCUGGAAGGAAGCGUUUCCCUGGUCCGUUACCUGGAUUAGACUAUUCCAGGCAUGUAACUGAAAUCCAGAGGGAUGACUCGGACCCAGCUUCUGCCGAGUUGCAGGCAAGAAGGUCUGUGACGUGGUUCAAGGCAGAACCCUCAUUGAAACAACAUUGGCCACGAUUUGCAAACCCUAUCCAGUCAACCAGGGUGAGUUUUAACCCAUAAUGACUAUUCAUCCUUCGUGGUGUGAGACACAGGACAGGCAUCCCCCGGUGAGAAGCAGAUCUCAGCCUGGGGGGGUUUCAUGCUGGAGGUGGUGGCCAGCAUGUCACGCUUGGAGCUGCCUGGCAGCCGUGCCAGGGAACAUCUCAUGCUGAGUGAUGUACAUCAAUGGCUCCAGAGAAGUGGGGCCGGAAGGGCUGGGUGGUGUUGUUCCCGUCUGGAGAUCCCCUAUGCCACAUCUUGCACUUUCUCCCUCACAGCAUCAGCAACAGUUGUGACUUCCCCAAACUGUCAGGGGUUCAAACAGCCCUCUGGGGAGGCGGGGACAGUGCAGGAAAGGAAGGUGUGAUUGGUGAGAUCGGGGCACCGCUGUGCUUAAAGUCUCUAACUGAAGUCGCUGUGGGCAGAUGAGGAAGGGUCACGGUACAGGGUGAGCUGAGGCCGGACCAUGCAGCCCCUUCUGCGCACCCACCUGCUCCUCCUGCUUGCCCUGCUUGUCCUCUGCAUGCCCUUGGGCCAGGCGGAGGUGGGCUCAACCACCCAACCCACCACUGUACACCCUGCUGUAGUCAGCCUGAGCCCCCCCUGUAGCAGCCCACUCCUCUUCUCCCUUGCCCUGGGCCUGGCUGUGGCUUUCUUCCUGCAGCUGCGCUGACCCUGGACGAACAAGAUGAUGUACCCUACCCCAGCAUCUCUUCAGACCUUCGAACCACAGAGCAUGCUGCCAUCCCUGCCUCCCUCUGCUCCAAGUUCCUGCUUCCCUCGCCCUUCUGCCUCUACCCUUGUCUCAAAGCAAGGCCCUGGGAGUGGGUCCGCUGCGAGGCUCUGAGUAAUAAAGUGCUGGUGUAGAGA